This 551-nucleotide ribosomal RNA is filed under the name uncultured bacterium. RNAcentral's name for it is "partial 16S ribosomal RNA". It matches the Rfam family "Bacterial small subunit ribosomal RNA", at positions 355 to 898 of the family's 1533-position model. The record is from RNAcentral.
UAGGGAAUCUUCAGCAAUGGACGAAAGUCUGACCGAGCAACGCCGCGUGAGUGAAGAAGGUUUUCGGAUCGUAAAACUCUGUUGGUAGAGAAGAACGUUGGUGAGAGUGGAAAGCUCAUCAAGUGACGGUAACUACCCAGAAAGGGGCGGCUAACUACGUGCCAGCAGCCGCGGUAAUACGUAGGUCCCGAGCGUUGUCCGGAUUUAUUGGGCGUAAAGCGAGCGCAGGUGGUUUAUUAAGUCUGGUGUAAAAGGCAGUGGCUCAACCAUUGUAUGCAUUGGAAACUGGUAGACUUGAGUGCAGGAGAGGAGAGUGGAAUUCCAUGUGUAGCGGUGAAAUGCGUAGAUAUAUGGAGGAACACCGGUGGCGAAAGCGGCUCUCUGGCCUGUAACUGACACUGAGGCUCGAAAGCGUGGGGAGCAAACAGGAUUAGAUACCCUGGUAGUCCACGCCGUAAACGAUGAGUGCUAGAUGUAGGGAGCUAUAAGUUCUCUGUAUCGCAGCUAACGCAAUAAGCACUCCGCCUGGGGAGUACGACCGCAAGGUUGAA